UAACUAAUAAUUUCAAUAAUUAAGUUAAUGAGCUUGAAUAAGCAUAU
Molecule: transfer RNA, 47 nt
Filed under: Chironomus pseudoppositus (nom. nud.)
Lineage: Eukaryota; Metazoa; Arthropoda; Insecta; Diptera; Chironomidae
Description: Chironomus pseudoppositus (nomen nudum) partial tRNA-Ser
Source: RNAcentral